AUGGGAUUGGGCCAUGGCUCUUCUGCCUUGGCGGACUGCCUGGGGCCUUGGCACCACCUGGAGUCUUGUGGGCGAGGCUGUGCUGCCUUCUGCCAUUCUCUGGAGCUCCGGGCUAACUUAGUCGCCUUGAAGCUGCUGCACCCAGCCUUCCACAGUGGCCUCCUGCUGGCACCACUCAGCUCAUGGAAAGCUGCUCUUGAGGUUCAUGCUUUGUCCUUGGGUCCCUGAUUAUGCCAGCCAUCAGCACCUCUGCUUUCCUGCAGGAGCUUAUGCAUCACUAUGGCAAGGGUGAUAGCCUCACUCUGCAGCGGCUGAAGGCCUUGCUCAGCACUAGAUGUUGGAGUGGGCUAGAAGAAUGUUACCCUGCCUGUGCAGGGCCAGAGGAGCCUCUCGAUGUGCUUUGCUUCUGGAAGACUCUUUGCUGCCCACAGUUGCAGUGCCCCAUCUUGGAUUGGGAGGAGUGAGUUCCAGGAGCCAAGUGCAGUAGAAGUGUGGUGAUUAGGUCUCCUGUGUGGCCAUCGUCUCCCUCUGGUCUUGCAUGGGGGCCAGCAUGGUGUCUGUCAUGAAGAAGACCUCUUACAAGAGGCUGCUUUCUGUACCUCACAGCUCUGGUGAUUGGAACCCUCUACUCCAACGCCGCCUUCCAGUUCAUCCUGAGGCUUUUGGUUUCAACCUCUGGAAUAUUAUUAUGUCUCCAAGUCUACAGUGGUGUUUGGGAGCUUUUAUCUUUUCUUUUUCACAGAGAAGGUCUUGAAGAUGCUUUUUAAGCAGAAAAAUGAACAUCGCACAGACAUUGCCAUUAUGUCUCUGAGACCCUGUCUUUAAAGGACAAGGAGCAAGACAAUGAUGGAAAAGUUGCAGAGGGAAUUCUGGACCACGUGAUUCUUCAACACUGCAACAGCGAUCUGAGUGGCAAGGCCCAUGGUAGACAAGAAGGUCACAGCAGCCUUACUCUGCAUGCAGGACCUGCAGGCUUCCUAGAGCACCUAUUAUUGGCUAAAAGGUGUCAGCAGUCUGGCCUUGACGAUCAUCCUGAGUAAUGGCCUCCAUAGUUUCAUUGAUGGCCAGGCCAUUGAUGCUUCCUUUACUGUAUCUGUUUUCCAAGGCAUCAGUACCUCAGUGGCCAUCCUCUCUGAGGAAUCCCUGCAUGAGCUGGGAGUCUUUGUUAUUCGGCUCAAUGCUCAGAUGAAUGUCUUCUUCAGCUUCCUUUCCACCUGCUGCUACUCCAUGAGUUUGGUCGUUGGCAUCCUGGCCGGCAGCCACUUCUCUGCCAACUGGAUUUUUGUGCUGGCUGGAGGAAUGUUUUUGUGUAUUUCUCUGGCCUGCCAAGAGGAUGAAAGGAAGGGCAUCAUCUUGAUCCCCUUUGUCACCCAGAACCCAAGCCUCUUGACUUGGCUCACCAUCAUGUUGGUACUCACUAUAUAUAUAAUCAGGACAGAGCCAGAUUGGGUAGGCCCUGGGCUGCCUGAUCCCAGGCUCAAGGACUCAGCAUCCAUGAAGCACCACGGAAGAGGCAAUUCUCAUAAGAAUUGAUGCAGACUGUAUUCCUGCAUUCAAAUGUCAAACUGUUUUUAAAAUGUUCUAUCCUAGGAAUAAGCCACUGUGCUAACCAGUCUCUUGGUAGUGCCUGUCACCCUCUCCUCUCCUUUUCUCACAGUGAUUCUGGAACCUGAAUGCAGCUUCUUGACGAGCCUAACUUUUUUUUCUGAUCACUCUGGCCUUUUUCUCUUGGAACCACUGCUGAAAGAUUUUGAAUCCUUUUCCUAACAAUGCAGAAAUACAGCCAGGGGUUAAUCUUGAGUUAGAAAUAUCAAGAGGUGAAUCCAAAGUUUUGGGCCCAUGAGUCUAAGUGUGUGUCCUGGACCUCAAGCUGCCCAGUUUCAAACCGGAUCUACCCCGUCUCACAAGUGAAGAGACAACAAACAGGAAUCCUUCCCACUUGUGCAAAGUCUGUUCUUUCUGUUGCCUAUUACUUCUCUAAGAGAACUGAAAAUCAGAGCAGAGAAGUCGGGUUGGAGAAGGGGCAGGGAUCUUCCCGAGAGAGAGGGGAAGUAGAAUGAGGACGCAGACAAUGCAUAUCUUGUCAAGAGGCUCCUUUGUUCCCACUGGGGCGCUGAAUAUAGGUCCUGAGGCAGCACCUGCUGUUCCUGGCCAUCCAGGAGCUAGCAGAAAAUAGCACUCGAAGUUUAAGACUCUGGAAAAUUUUGCUUUACUUCACUUACAUUGCUGCAUUACAUCGGUAAUUUUAGCAUUCCCAGUAUAUCCUGUCAUUCUUUAUAAAUACCCUGGGGAGUAGAAUGCCAAGUUAGAGUUAUGGGGUUUCUAGUUUGGGAGAUGAGCUCAAAAAUGUAAUCUUUAGUAAAUUAAAAAAUAAAAUAUGAAAUAGUAGGGUGCUUUUCCUUUUUGCACACACCUGUAUUAAGCUAAGAAAUUUCUUUUCAUAGACAGCUGCCUCAAAGAGAAAUCCUCUUUAAACUAUAUUUGGAGCAGAGGUCAGUCCUAGCUGGUGCUUAGGAGGGGUGGAGACACUCACAUCAUCCGACCGAUUUGUAAGUUGCCAAUGACAACAGAUUUGCCUCAUGAGUUGAAAAUGGGGCAACUUCUUUUUGACUUUUAAAUAUUUUAUUUGGUGUUUUAAGGAUUUGCACAUAUCAGAGUCCAAGAUGUGAAGAGUUGUUUUGAGGACUUUAUCACCCCUGGCAUUAGCAGCUUCAGCUUCCCUUUUUCUGGGUGGACCAGCUCCUACAAAUGUUAGCAAGGAAAGUAUGUCUCAUGCAGGAAUGGUAAGCCAGGAACAGGGGCUCUGCUACUUCCCACCUACUCCCUGGAUGGGCAGGUUGCCAUUGUCCUUGCCCUAAAGGUAUUUUGUAUCUUUUGUCACCUUGGAGUUAUUCCUUUCUUGCUCAUCCUUCCUGGAGGGUUUAAAAAAGAAGGUUUUUAGGCAACCUAAGAUCUGUUUUUAGUAAGUUUUCUUCCAAAGAGAUGGUAAUAUGUUGGAAAUCUGCUUUUUAAGAAAAGUCUGAUUUUUGCACGAGAGGUUAAGAUUUUAUUGUUCAUAUUCACCUUUACAGUUCUGCAAUUCCAUCACAGUAUUUUUUUCAAAACUUAGGUGUUAUGAGAAGAAAUUAGAAAAGGAAAUUAACUUAUAUGAACUGUAAAUGUCUUGUUUGUAAGAUUCUGUAAAUAAAGCUAUAUAUUCUGU
RNA transcript from Nycticebus coucang (slow loris), 3202 nucleotides. It is a transcript of the gene named metal cation symporter ZIP14-like, with no coding region annotated. NCBI's taxonomy places the organism in Eukaryota, Metazoa, Chordata, Mammalia, Primates, Lorisidae. The record is from RefSeq and is a predicted model, not a curated record. The transcript has 3 exons.